Molecule: ribosomal RNA, 496 nt
Filed under: uncultured bacterium
Lineage: Bacteria
Description: partial 16S ribosomal RNA
Rfam family: Bacterial small subunit ribosomal RNA
Source: RNAcentral
GAUGAACGCUGGCGGCGUGCCUAAUACAUGCAAGUCGAGCGAACAGACGAGGAGCUUGCUCCUCUGACGUUAGCGGCGGACGGGUGAGUAACACGUGGAUAACCUACCUAUAAGACUGGGAUAACUUCGGGAAACCGGAGCUAAUACCGGAUAAUAUAUUGAACCGCAUGGUUCAAUAGUGAAAGACGGUUUUGCUGUCACUUAUAGAUGGAUCCGCGCCGCAUUAGCUAGUUGGUAAGGUAACGGCUUACCAAGGCAACGAUGCGUAGCCGACCUGAGAGGGUGAUCGGUCACACUGGAACUGAGACACGGUCCAGACUCCUACGGGAGGCAGCAGUAGGGAAUCUUCCGCAAUGGGCGAAAGCCUGACGGAGCAACGCCGCGUGAGUGAUGAAGGUCUUCGGAUCGUAAAACUCUGUUAUUAGGGAAGAACAAUGUGUAAGUAACUAUGCACGUCUUGACGGUACCUAAUCAGAAAGCCACGGCUAACUACGUG